RNAcentral lists this ribosomal RNA (1410 nucleotides) under Klebsiella pneumoniae. RNAcentral describes it as "bacterial SSU rRNA". It matches the Rfam family "Bacterial small subunit ribosomal RNA". Lineage: Bacteria; Pseudomonadati; Pseudomonadota; Gammaproteobacteria; Enterobacterales; Enterobacteriaceae. The record is from RNAcentral.
CAAUUCGAGCGGUAGCACAGAGAGCUUGCUCUCGGGUGACGAGCGGCGGACGGGUGAGUAAUGUCUGGGAAACUGCCUGAUGGAGGGGGAUAACUACUGGUUUCGGUAGCUAAUACCGCAUAACGUCGCAAGACCAAAGUGGGGGACCUUCGGGCCUCAUGCCAUCAGAUGUGCCCAGAUGGGAUUAGCUAGUAGGUGGGGUAACGGCUCACCUAGGCGACGAUCCCUAGCUGGUCUGAGAGGAUGACCAGCCACACUGGAACUGAGACACGGUCCAGACUCCUACGGGAGGCAGCAGUGGGGAAUAUCCCACAAUGGGCGCAAGCCUGAUGCAGCCAUGCCGCGUGUGUGAAGAAGGCCUUCGGGUUGUAAAGCACUUUCAGCGGGGAGGAAGGCGAUAAGGUUAAUAACCUUGUCGAUUGACGUUACCCGCAGAAGAAGCACCGGCUAACUCCGUGCCAGCAGCCGCGGUAAUACGGAGGGUGCAAGCGUUAAUCGGAAUUACUGGGCGUAAAGCGCACGCAGGCGGUCUGUCAAGUCGGAUGUCCAAAUCCCCGGGCUCAACCUGGGAACUGCAUUCGAAACUGGCAGGCUAGAGUCUUGUAGAGGGGGGUAGAAUUCCAGGUGUAGCGGUGAAAUGCGUAGAGAUCUGGAGGAAUACCGGUGGCGAAGGCGGCCCCCUGGACAAAGACUGACGCUCAGGUGCGAAAGCGUGGGGAGCAAACAGGAUUAGAUACCCUGGUAGUCCACGCCGUAAACGAUGUCGAUUUGGAGGUUGUGCCCUUGAGGCGUGGCUUCCGGAGCUAACGCGUUAAAUCGACCGCCUGGGGAGUACGGCCGCAAGGUUAAAGUUCAAAUGAAUUGACGGGGGCCCGCACAAGCGGUGGAGCAUGUGGUUUAAUUCGAUGCAACGCGAAGAACCUUAAUGGUCUUGACAUCCACAGAACUUAGCAGAGAUGCUUUGGUGCCUUCGGGAACUGUGAGACAGGUGCUGCAUGGCUGUCGUCAGCUCGUGUUGUGAAAUGUUGGGUUAAGUCCCGCAACGAGCGCAACCCUUAUCCUUUGUUGCCAGCGGUCAGGCCGGGAACUCAAAGGAGACUGCCAGUGAUAAACUGGAGGAAGGUGGGGAUGACGUCAAGUCAUCAUGGCCCUUACGACCAGGGCUACACACGUGCUACAAUGGCAUAUACAAAGAGAAGCGACCUCGCGAGAGCAAGCGGACCUCAUAAAGUAUGUCGUAGUCCGGAUUGGAGUCUGCAACUCGACUCCAUGAAGUCGGAAUCGCUAGUAAUCGUAGAUCAGAAUGCUACGGUGAAUACGUUCCCGGGCCUUGUACACACCGCCCGUCACACCAUGGGAGUGGGUUGCAAAAGAAGUAGGUAGCUUAACCUUCGGGAGGGCGCUUAAUGG